UACGGGGGGGGCAAGCGUUGUUCGGAAUUACUGGGCGUAAAGGGCUCGUAGGCGGCCAACUAAGUCGGAUGUGAAAUCCCCAGGCUUAACCUGGGAACUGCAUCUGAUACUGGAUGGCUUGAAUCCGGGAGAGGGAAGUGGAAUUCCAGGUGUAGCGGUGAAAUGCGUAGAUAUCUGGAGGAACACCGGUGGCGAAGGCGGCUUCCUGGACCGACACUGACGCUGAGGCGCGAAAGCCAGGGGAGCAAACGGG
This 253-nucleotide ribosomal RNA is filed under the name uncultured bacterium. Its description in RNAcentral is "partial 16S ribosomal RNA". It matches the Rfam family "Bacterial small subunit ribosomal RNA", at positions 524 to 776 of the family's 1533-position model. The record is from RNAcentral.